Molecule: long non-coding RNA, 1006 nt
Filed under: Mus pahari (shrew mouse)
Lineage: Eukaryota; Metazoa; Chordata; Mammalia; Rodentia; Muridae
Description: lncRNA (MGP_PahariEiJ_G0006347.1)
Source: RNAcentral
UUUAUCACAGCAGCAGAAAGUAAUUCACACAAACACCCAGAACGAUAAAAAAGGUCUUGUGUGGAGCAGCGCUGUCUAUUCAUCCCUUCAUCGGGGUCAGCUGGAUUUUGCAAGGGAGAUACGGAUCUGCAUCUUCAAACCCUCCAGCCUGAGUUAGGCUCCCAGGACCCCAACCUCCUUCGUUCACACUUGCACGUGCAGGACCAGAGCCUGUGGGCCCUGGUGUACACCUCCCGCCGAUGCAGAAUCUGCAAAUAGACACCUCCUUCCACAACAUACCUCUCCACAAAGCCAACCCACUGAAACGGAGCUCAUUAUCUCCAGACAUCGCUGCGGCCAAAGGGCUGGCUCUGACGCAGAGCAUCACGGGAUGGAAGCCUUCGGUGGACAGUGACUUCAUGGUGGUCAGGAAGCCAAGAAGAGACGAGCAAAAGACUCGGGAUGCCAGAGGAAUGCAAGUCAGCCUCAAAGACUGAGAAGGGCGAGUCACUACAUUGGCACCGGCACAGACACACUUGGCCCGGUGAGGUGAGUGCUACUUCGUCCUGGAGCCUUGAAUGACCAUGGAGAAGAGAGUGCCUAUCUGCACGAGUCGAUCUCCGCACGAGUCAACCUCCGACCUGUCCCAAAAUGACGGAUCAAAGAUGAGUUUGUUCUCUGUCUCAAGUCGCAGCCAUCCCACCGAAGUGUUGUUCCCUGUCUUCAGAUAUUUGGACUCUUAAGAAGUACAGAUGCAGCACAGAUUUUUAUCCUUGUGCAGAUUCUUAAAAGUGAACACAAGGUUACAUAACCCAAGAUGCACAGAGAAAUGUGUAAUGCGAUAGUCUCCAGGACCCAGUGGAUGGCUGAUAGCAGCUGGCUUGGAGGGAGGCGCUCUGGAAUCUCCUGUAGUUCCUGACGAAAGUGGGCUGGUUCCAUGGUUUAGAACCGCUUACAACGUGAGCUACUUUUACUCUUUUCAAGACAGAAGCUUGGGUAAAAAGUCUUAUUCAUUUGUGUCAGAGGG